UUUAGCAUGGAAUAAUAAAAUAGGACGUGUGGUUCUAUUUUGUUGGUUUCUAGGACCGCCGUAAUGAUUAAUAGGGACAGUCGGGGGCAUCAGUAUUCAAUUGUCAGAGGUGAAAUUCUUGGAUUUAUUGAAGACUAACUACUGCGAAAGCAUUUGCCAAGGAUGUUUUCAUUAAUCAGGAACGAAAGUUAGGGGAUCGAAGACGAUCAGAUACCGUCGUAGUCUUAACCAUAAACUAUGCCGACUAGGGAUCGGACGGUGUUAUUUUUUGACCCGUUCGGCACCUUACGAGAAAUCAAAGUGCUUGGGCUCCAGGGGGAGUAUGGUCGCAAGGCUGAAACUUAAAGAAAUUGACGGAAGGGCACCACCAGGGGUGGAGCCUGCGGCUUAAUUAGACUCAACACGGGGAAACUCACCAGGUCCAGAAAUCUAGA
Molecule: ribosomal RNA, 434 nt
Filed under: uncultured fungus
Lineage: Eukaryota; Fungi
Description: SSU rRNA
Rfam family: Eukaryotic small subunit ribosomal RNA
Source: RNAcentral